GUUUCAUGUCUAGGUCCAGUCUAUAAACCUCCAGUAGUCGAGAAAUAAACCGAUCAUUUUAGCCGAUUAUUGGUUAACCAAGGUUAUAAUGUAUUCUUUAGAGGUGCUAAUGUUCGUAUGACAAACAAUGGGUACAGUGUUGAUCUUAUCUUAGAUAAAUCUUCAGGUUCUGGACUGAUCUCUAAGGACAAAUACUACUACGGUUUCUUCAACUGCUCUAAAAUUGCCUGAUCAUUUUACAUAUGGAGUUGUAAUUGUCUUUUAUUUGUCUAAUUCUGAUGUGUUCCCACACAAUCAUGGAAGUGGAAGUGUUUACACAGGGAGAGAAGAGAAGUUUUACUUCUUGUUUGAUCCAACACUGGAUUUUCAUGACUACAACAUCCUCUGGAAUAAUCAUCACAUAGUGUAAGCUUAGUUGAUAUAAUCUAACUAUUACCUCCAUUUCAUUUUAUAUGAUAUUGUUUAAUUAUACAUGGAGUUUUAAAAAAAACAAUCUUGGCGCACAGUAGAGGAGCCACCUUAUAGCAACUGACACC
Non-coding RNA from Nicotiana tabacum (common tobacco), 536 nucleotides. Lineage: Eukaryota; Viridiplantae; Streptophyta; Magnoliopsida; Solanales; Solanaceae. The record is from RefSeq and is a predicted model, not a curated record.